UGAGAAGUAGUUUAAUUGAAAAACAAGAAGUUUUGAUCUUCUAAAUAUAAGUUCAAAACUUAUUUUUUCAA
RNAcentral lists this transfer RNA (71 nucleotides) under Benthodytes marianensis. RNAcentral's name for it is "tRNA-Gln". It matches the Rfam family "tRNA". From Rfam's summary of the family: Transfer RNA (tRNA) molecules are approximately 80 nucleotides in length. Their secondary structure includes four short double-helical elements and three loops (D, anti-codon, and T loops). The record is from RNAcentral. RNAcentral also lists the same sequence under 1 other name. Lineage: Eukaryota; Metazoa; Echinodermata; Holothuroidea; Elasipodida; Psychropotidae.